CAGGUUAAACCGCCGUCGCAGGACAGCGGGUGCAGUACGCUGACGUAAAAAAUUGCAUCGUUCUUCGCUCUGUUGCCUACUUGUUGCUGUACCCCGCGUAGCUUCUUCUGCUCUCUCCCUCCAUGGCGGUCUCGGUUGAAGAACAGCAGCAGGAGGAACCGCCAAUUGCGGAACAAGAACCCCCAUCGAGUGGCGAGGACGAAGAAGAAGACGACGGCGAAGACUUUGAAGAAGAGGACGAGAAGCAAGAAGACGACGACGACGACGAACCACUAAGCUGUGGAUCGAGAACCCUCUCGGAGAGAGUCAAAAUGGAGAGCCUAUUCCGCCAGAUAUCGACGGAGAGACUGCCCCUUCGAGUCCAUGACGUGCUGAUCAGGGGCAACACCAAGACUAAGGACUCUUUGAUCGAAGCUGAAGUUGAGGCCCUCAGGAAUGCCACUUCUAUCCAAGAGCUUAUUUGGGCCGCGAGCAUCGCCAAUUCUCGCCUUCGCUGCCUCGGAAUUUUCGACUCCGCCAGCAUUACGCUCGAUUCGGGUCCGCCGUGGUUGCCGGGGGCCGCCAAUGUCAUUGUUGAGGUUGUUGAGACUAAAAGCCCUCUCGUCGCCGAUUGUUCCCUUUUCUCAAAGCCUGAGGCUAGAUCUUGGUCGCUUGAUGGAUCACUCAAGCUAAAAAACUUGUUUGGAUUUGGGGACCUUUGGGAUGGCUAUUUCGCCUAUGGCUGGGACAAAAUUUCAGAGCUUAGUGCUGGUGUCUACUUGCCUCGAUUCAAAAGAAUGGCAACUCCUGUACUGGCUCGAGCAUCUAUACUCUCCAAAGAUUGGCUAAAGUUUUCUUCUUACAAAGAGCGGGCAGUGGGCCUAUCUGUCAGCCUAAUUUCAUCCAGGAACCAUGAUCUGUUAUGCAACCUCUCUUGGCAUACUCUUGAUCCAUCACAGCAGGCAUCUCAGUCAAUGAGGAGGCAGCUUGGACAUGGUUUAAUCUCCUCACUAAAGUAUGCAUUUAAGAUUGAUAAGAGAGAUUAUCCCAGGAGACCAACUCGUGGAUAUGCUUUUUUUGCCACUUCUCAAAUUGUUGGUCUUUUGCCUGAUUACCGGAGCUCACAUCUUUUUCAUCAGGAUUUUGAACUUCGUUAUGCCUUUCCCUUGGGUUUUCAUUGUGCUGCAUUGAACUUUGGUCUCUCCUGCCGGGUUAUUUUUCCAUUUGGAAGCAGUUUCUUCAACAGGCCCUCAUCCUUAUCUGAGACAUUCUUUUUAGGUGGCAAAUCUUCUACAGUUUGCACCUUGGGAGGCCCACUGAGCUUUUUGGGUUUUAAGUCAAGGGGAUUGGGCUCUACUGAACCAAGAAUGAAACCUAGAGGAAACUCAAAUGAUGAAUGUUCUAACACUGAUUCAGGAAGGGAUUUUCCUGGUGGAGACCUUACCGUUACUGCUUUUGCAGACCUUUCUUUUAAUCUUCCAUCGAGGGUGUUCCAGGAAGCUGGUAUCCGUGGACAUCUUUUUGCUUGUGCUGGAAACGUUAGUAAAUUAACAGACAAUGCAUAUCGAGAUUUUUCCUUCCAGAAAUUCACGGAGUCUUUCCGAAGCUCUGCAGGAUUUGGGAUCAUUGUGCCCACUAGACUAUUUUCUAUGGAGGUUAACUACUGUUACAUAGUGAAACAGCUUCAGCAUGACCAUGGGAAGACCGGUUUGCAGUUUAGCUUCUCUUCAAAGGCAUAAGAUUUGGAUUCAUUUUUAUGCUGUCUACGGCCAAUAAUAGUACCACAGGAGGAUCAUCUUCUCCGGUAUUUUUAAGUUUUACAGGCGCAUUUGAGAAUUUUGUUUCUUCUCAAUGAAUACCAAUUUAGAUGCCUCUCUGGUGUCUACAAAUUGUAGUGCAAAUAUCUUACUGUCCUUGGUGCAGAUUUGUUGAAGAUGCGGAAUUGUCCUGCUUCCCAACAGCUGGGGAUCAAUCUGGUUUCAUGCCUCGUUCGUUGGCAUCUAAGUUCUAACAAAUAACUGACACAUGAUUUCCCUUAAUCUUCAUCGACUUUAUUGUUUCAUUGGUCAUGGACAUAAUCACUUUCCCAAACUGUAUUUGGUUGAGUGACACGGGGUACAAACACGAUACUGAUAGGGACACGAGUUUAUUGGUUGUUGUGCUAGCCAGGUAAGUUCAUAACGAUUUCUUUUGAAUGGAAAUUUGAUCACAAAAAAAAGAGAGUAGGUUUGGUGGAGCUGUGGUAUUGCCUAUGCCAGCAAUAAUUCAAACGCUCCAUUAGACCAUCCUAUUAGUAGUAGGAGACGAUAUAAGAAUGUAGGCGAUGCUACCUCAUAAAAUUUGCCUUGUGUUGCAAGAGGUUUAUUUUUGAAUGUUGUCGUACCUAUGCUUUUUUGCAAAGAAGAGUUGCUUUUAAUGCUUGACAAGUUGACAUCGUAUAGACUUGUGAAUCG
Molecule: RNA transcript, 2432 nt
Organism: Diospyros lotus (date-plum)
Lineage: Eukaryota; Viridiplantae; Streptophyta; Magnoliopsida; Ericales; Ebenaceae
Exons: 5
Source: RefSeq, a predicted model, not a curated record